GAGUACGCGUGAAAUGCGUCGAGGAAUUUCGUCUAAUGAGCGUGAAACGAAGGGGUGUCGUUCAAACGCUUUUUCUUACGGUACUCCCUCUUCUUCGGAACCAGAGAAGUCUUUGGCCGAGAGUGUGUUGUCAGUACGGCAAAUAUGUUGACAGGUUUCCGAAUACUGGCAGAAAACGAACAAUGCAAAUUAUACGAAUUACGAACAUGUUUAAAGAAGAUCAAGAUAUUUAAAUGAAAAGUAACCAAAUCCUGUUACAUUCAGAAAGAAACAUUGAAGUUUUAUCUAUAUAACACAUUGUUAAAUAUAGAAAUAUUUUUCAUGUCUCUCUUAAAGACG
Molecule: long non-coding RNA, 339 nt
Organism: Polistes canadensis
Lineage: Eukaryota; Metazoa; Arthropoda; Insecta; Hymenoptera; Vespidae
Exons: 3
Source: RefSeq, a predicted model, not a curated record